AGCGGCGGAUGGGUGAGUAACACGUGGGGAACCUGCCCCUAAGUCUGGGAUACCAUUUGGAAACAGGUGCUAAUACCGGAUAAUAAAGCAGAUCGCAUGAUCAGCUUUUGAAAGGCGGCGUAAGCUGUCGCUAAGGGAUGGCCCCGCGGUGCAUUAGCUAGUUGGUAAGGUAACGGCUUACCAAGGCGACGAUGCAUAGCCGAGUUGAGAGACUGAUCGGCCACAUUGGGACUGAGACACGGCCCAAACUCCUACGGGAGGCAGCAGUAGGGAAUCUUCCACAAUGGACGCAAGUCUGAUGGAGCAACGCCGCGUGAGUGAAGAAGGUCUUCGGAUCGUAAAGCUCUGUUGUUGGUGAAGAAGGAUAGAGGUAGUAACUGGCCUUUAUUUGACGGUAAUCGACCAGAAAGUCACGGCUAACUACGUGCCAGCAGCCGCGGUAAUACGUAGGUGGCAAGCGUUGUCCGGAUUUAUUGGGCGUAAAGCGAGCGCAGGCGGAAAAAUAAGUCUAAUGUGAAAGCCCUCGGCUUAACCGAGGAACUGCAUCGGAAACUGUUUUUCUUGAGUGCAGAAGAGGAGAGUGGAACUCCAUGUGUAGCGGUGGAAUGCGUAGAUAUAUGGAAGAACACCAGUGGCGAAGGCGGCUCUCUGGUCUGCAACUGACGCUGAGGCUCGAAAGCAUGGGUAGCGAACAGGAUUAGAUACCCUGGUAGUCCAUGCCGUAAACGAUGAGUGCUAAGUGU
This 743-nucleotide ribosomal RNA is filed under the name uncultured bacterium. RNAcentral's name for it is "bacterial SSU rRNA". It matches the Rfam family "Bacterial small subunit ribosomal RNA", at positions 94 to 823 of the family's 1533-position model. The record is from RNAcentral.